AUCGAACGCUGGCGGCAUGCCUUACACAUGCAAGUCGAACGGCAGCACGGGAGCAAUCCUGGUGGCGAGUGGCGAACGGGUGAGUAAUAUAUCGGAACGUGCCCAGUCGUGGGGGAUAACGUAGCGAAAGCUACGCUAAUACCGCAUACGAUCUAUGGAUGAAAGCGGGGGAUCGCAAGACCUCGCGCGAUUGGAGCGGCCGAUAUCAGAUUAGGUAGUUGGUGAGGUAAAGGCUCACCAAGCCGACGAUCUGUAGCUGGUCUGAGAGGACGACCAGCCACACUGGGACUGAGACACGGCCCAGACUCCUACGGGAGGCAGCAGUGGGGGAAUUUUUGGGACAAUGGGCGCAAGCCUGAUCCAGCAAUGCCGCGUGCAGGAUGAAGGCCUCGG
Molecule: ribosomal RNA, 393 nt
Filed under: uncultured bacterium
Lineage: Bacteria
Description: bacterial SSU rRNA
Rfam family: Bacterial small subunit ribosomal RNA
Source: RNAcentral